Molecule: long non-coding RNA, 208 nt
Filed under: Capsicum annuum
Lineage: Eukaryota; Viridiplantae; Streptophyta; Magnoliopsida; Solanales; Solanaceae
Description: long non-coding RNA (CANN_LNC010745)
Source: RNAcentral
CCCAAAUUUUAUUCCUUAAUGUCCAUACCAACUUCAUCUUCAAUUGCAACCACAAGUAGCUCAUCACACAUUUACUAGGAUAAUUUUUCAACACCCCUCAUUAUAAAAUGCAAUACUCAAGGUUGUAUAAGACUUUAAAGAGAACUCAAACAACAAAACCCAAUACUCUAAAAGUGGCUCACCUUUGACUAAAACUAAACCACACUCU